ACUUUUAACUUUAGAAACAUUGAAGUUGUCCCUUUUUUAUCAAUAACUUCAUGUGGAAAAGUAUUCUUUUCAAGGGAAUCAUGGUUAAGAAUUUGUAUUAGAGGUUGGCAGUGAUACUAUAGUAAGUUUGCAUUUUAUACCAGCUAGCAGGACUUCAUAGAAAUUUGUUAGAGGAAUUGCAACAACCUUGACCAAAUAUUAUUUUUCUUAUUCCUUUCUAGUUUUAGACAAAAACAAUAGAGAAUCUCAAUCCUUCUACUGUCGCAGUACUUGAAGUAGAGCAACCGCUGCCUCAAACUUCAAAGAAGAUGGGCAUGAAUGGCUGUUUUGGUUGCAGGUUACUCCAAGAACAAGUGCAUUAUAUUUCUGUGUAUCCAGUAGCUUAUGCAGCCCAUAAUUACUUUACCAACAGAUUCAUGAUUGGGAGAAGUAGCUAAAGAUCUCUGGAGCACCUUGAGGUAGCAAUCCAGCCUACAAUGUCACAUUUGUAUGACCACUGCUCAAGAGAAAUAUUUUUUGAAUAUUUUACUAACAUUCUCGUGAACCUGCACCUGAAAGUUUUAAUUUUUGCAGCAAGCGAUGCAGAGAAACAAGACAAAUAACUACGAAGUAGUAGAUCAUAGAAAGGACUGGUGUCAAUUGAUCAGUCAUAGUCAAAGAAUGAUAUGGAAAUUAAACUAAGCACGACAUGUCGAAAUAAUAGCAGAACCAGAGCAAGAGAAAAAAGUUGAUUAGCAGGUCGACAGUGAUGCCUGCUAAGAGAGAAUCCACACGUCCAUCCUUUUGCCACUGCUGAAGCCCCACAUCCUCGAUCUCGACACGCUUGCCUGCCAUCCUGGCCAACGUCCUCGCUAUGGCCCCGAAGCCACGCAACCACCUCGCCAGCUGUUGCUAGAGCCGAGCGCGUUGGCAGACUCCGCACCCAAGGUUUUUAGUUGAUGAAGGACGAAGUCCGCACCAAGAAGACCAUUCUGAUGGAUUCAAGAGAAUCAAAAGUGAAGAAUCAAGUUACAAUAAAUAUGUCGAUUACAAAUAUGCCUACAGAUACACAAGUGGUUUUCAGAUAUCUUUGCUUGAUUUGGAGCUGCUCAAAGAAAAAGGAUGGCCACAUAUAUAUGGUAGUUACUUCCAUGUCACAAAGGUGCUCUUCAGUAGAUGAACUGCACACCUGAACGCAUCACUAAUGGAAAGAUUCAGCAUCUUGGUCGGCUGCUUGCGGCGGGGCUUGUGGCUGGUGGUUGCGGCAGUGGCAGAGCAGUGUCCGAGAGCGCGGCGCAAGCAGUGGCCCCUGCUAUGUGGGCUGAUGGGAGCACACCAUCCAAGCAGCACUUCCAAGUAUGACAAUGUCCGCUCUACACCAAGUUUAGCUCUCCAUAUGGUGCCCAUUUUUUUACGGGUAAGGCAAGAGCUCUGCCAAUUCAUUAAAGUUGAGGGGAAACUGUAAAGAAGGCAUAAAAAGAAGAAGGAAAAGCGCCACAAAAUAAAUGGAGGUCUAAAUACUGGAUGAGAUUUUCAUUGCUGGCAUUCUUCAUGAACCUGUCAAGGAGAACAUUUCAAUACUAAUUGUUGCAAAGGUGUUCUCACCACCGGCUAGCAAGAAGAGAGUUAUUUGGAAUGAUGGUAGGUAUUAAUGAAGUAGUUCACGUUGGACUGGCUCAAAGUGGAGAAACAUGAUUGUAUUAUUAAGCAUUUAAGCUCCUAGCAAUUUAGAACCUCGAUAUCUUGGGGCUGCCUUGCAUUAUUUCAGAGAGCUGUAUUUUUUUCGGACAUUUUAUAUUGCCACACAAUGAGAGUUGAAAGUUCUGGUCUGGCAUGAUGUGCUGUCAGGACACGUCCCCACUUAUGUUCUAGGUUUGGGGGUUUGCAGAUUUGUUUAAAGGGAACACAGUACUCCAUGUGUUUGUCUUUAAUUAAUGGAUAAUAACAAUACACAUGCUUUCGUGAGAUGAUCGAAUCUUAAGCAUAAAUAAUAAAGGCAUUCAAGUGUUAUUAUCAUUUGUAAUGAAGUGCACAAUAAAGAG
Aegilops tauschii subsp. strangulata is the source of this 2021-nucleotide non-coding RNA. The record is from RefSeq and is a predicted model, not a curated record. NCBI's taxonomy places the organism in Eukaryota, Viridiplantae, Streptophyta, Magnoliopsida, Poales, Poaceae.